CUCGUAGGCGGUGUGUCGCGUCGGCCGUGAAAACUUACAGCUUAACUGUGGGCGUGCGGUCGAUACGGGCAUCACUGGAGUUCGGCAGGGGAGACUGGAAUUCCUGGUGUAGCGGUGAAAUGCGCAGAUAUCAGGAGGAACACCGGUGGCGAAGGCGGGUCUCUGGGCCGAUACUGACGCUGAGGAGCGAAAGCGUGGGGAGCGAACA
This 208-nucleotide ribosomal RNA is filed under the name uncultured bacterium. Its description in RNAcentral is "partial 16S ribosomal RNA". It matches the Rfam family "Bacterial small subunit ribosomal RNA", at positions 568 to 774 of the family's 1533-position model. The record is from RNAcentral.